Molecule: ribosomal RNA, 455 nt
Filed under: Achromobacter sp. HEGN 014
Lineage: Bacteria; Pseudomonadati; Pseudomonadota; Betaproteobacteria; Burkholderiales; Alcaligenaceae
Description: bacterial SSU rRNA
Rfam family: Bacterial small subunit ribosomal RNA
Source: RNAcentral
GCCAAACCUCAAGUGACGGAGACAGCUUGGCUGGUGCAGUGCGACGGGUAGAAUGAUCGGAACGUGCCUAGAGCGGGGGAAACUCGCGAAAGCGUAGCUAUACCACAUACGCCCAACGGGGGAAAGCAGGGGAUCGCAAGACCUUGCACUAUUAGAGCGGCCGAUAUCGGAUUAGCUAGUUGGUGGGGUAACGGCUCACCAAGGCGACGAUCCGUAGCUGGUUUGAGAGGACGACCAGCCACACUGUAACUGAGACACGGCCCAGACUCCUACGGGAGGCAGCAGUGGGGAAUUUUGGACAAUGGGAGAAACCCUGAUCCAGCCAUCCCGCGUGUGCGAUGAAGGCCUUCGGGUUUGUAAAGCACUUUUGACAGGAAAGAAACGUUCCGGCUUAAUACCCCGGGAAACUGACGGUACCUGCAGAAUAAGCACCGGCUAACUACGUGCCAGCAGCG